UUGGAGGUGGAACUGAACUGCCAAUGAGGAAACUGAGGCACCAAGUCGGGGAAUGAAUGCCAGCCCAGUCACAGCUGAGGUCACAGUGGCCUUGGGUAGGGUACAGAAGGGGAAGAAGUGCUCUGGCUCUAUGACGUCCUGCAGCUAAUGUUGGGGUGCAAUGGCGUGGCACCACCCCACCCUUCCGUAUUCCCUACUUGGGUGUGCUCCCAUCUCCAAGCCAUGCCUGGCCGUGCCCCCCGAAUGGAAGGCCAUCUCUCCCUAUCAACACGGGGUUGGGGGGAUGUGUCUUUGCUGCCACCUCUCCCGUGGGUACGGUCUGCUGAGAAUGGCAGCUCCGUUGCUGGCUGCACUGGGAGCAUCUUGAGGACAGCCACUGCUUUGGCCCCUGACACACAGUCGGUGCUCAGUCAGUCCAUGUGGUUUGAUUGCAUGAAGGAUGUUGGCCUUUUGUGUGGACUUCUGUUGGGAAAAUGAAGCAUGUCUAGUAUCCCGACUCUGCAGUGUAACAAGUCUCCUUCAUGCACCCUCUCUGUGUCCCAGAAAAAGCUGUCCUAGAGUCCAUGAGCCUCUUUUUGUGACUUGGGCUUUCUUUGCUUUUCCACCUCUGUGUGUGUGUGUCUGCUGGCAGGCUUUUUUCAGGGUAUCAGUACAGUGGGGGAGGAAGAGGAGUUGACCUGCUCCUCCCUCCCUGGCCCCUCUCAUCCCACAUUUCCUAUCUCUCCUGGCUCUUUCCCUGCUGCCUACAAGUAGGCCCAUGUCUCCCUCAUCCUGAACAAAUCCUCAGUUAACCCUUCCAUCCCUGCUAACUCUGGUCCUACAAUGUCUUCUACCAUUUGUGGUGAAACUCCUGAAAAAGCCAGUGUACACCAGCUGCCUCCACUGUCUGUCCUCUCCAAUUUCCAGCCCAAGACAAUCUGGAUGGUUGACCGCAAAGGUAUAUCCUGCAGAAAUGGGAGAGGAGCUCAGCUUGGUAUGAGUGUGUGGGCCUCAGCAAACCUGGAGCAGGCCUCAGAGAACUCAACUGUGGGCAGCUGUGGUGGCUUCCAGACCUGUCAACCCAGGAACAUCCAAGACAACUUAGAAGGUAAUUGGCUGGGAUCAUGAGCAAACCUCACAAGAAGUGUCCGACCACAGAAUCAUUUUUUGGUCAUAAAGAACAUGAAAACAUACCACAAGAAGACAACAAAGUCAAAUCUCCCAUGUCCAAAGCCUCCAAGAAAAAUAGGAAUCAGUUCCAGGCCU
Molecule: non-coding RNA, 1245 nt
Organism: Phascolarctos cinereus (koala)
Lineage: Eukaryota; Metazoa; Chordata; Mammalia; Diprotodontia; Phascolarctidae
Source: RefSeq, a predicted model, not a curated record